UUAAUCAAAGAUUGUAAAUGAAAAUUUAAAAUGACUUAAUAAAAUUAGAAAGAAGAUAAAAUUUUAGAAUUACCAUAUAUAAACAAUUAAAGUAUUCCUAAAACUUUUAUUCUUCUCUAUGACUUAAUCUGCAUGAUUUAACUACAAAUACAUCCAUUAUUUUCGUUCUCUUGUAAAUGUCAUUUAUAACCUUCACUAACAAUCUAAACUAAUUAACUCUAUUAGGAUUUAAAUGAUCAAAUCCUGUGGUUUAUAAAACUCCAGGUUGAAUUUUAAUUUUUUAAUAAUUUUUUAAAAUUAAAAACAAUCACUUCUUUAUUAUGAUAUUAAAAUAAAGUAAUUCUCUAUGUGUUGAAAAAAAUUAAACAACUAAAUUAUACCUACUAUGAUAUAAAAUUAGUUUAAUAAAAAGCUAAAAAUGUAUUCUAAAUUGUAAAUAUUAAUAUUAUAACAUAAUGUCAAUCUGUAUCCCUUCGAAAGAAUUUUAAAAUUUAUAAAGUAAAACUUAACUAUCUUAAAGUCAAUAUUAAAGAUUAAAACGAUAAAUUAAAUAUUUAGAGAAGUAAAAAAGUUUUAAAAGAACUAAAAUCAAAUUGAAAACACUUUAAAAAAAAAGGAUCUAAAAUUUUGAUAACAGAAAUAAAAAAAAUAUAUAUAUAUAUAUAUUAAAAGAACUCAUUGUAAAGGAUAUUAUAUACUUGGUUAUAAUCUUGAGAAUCUUGUGAUUCAUAGAUGGAGAAAUUAAGGGCCAAUAAAUCAUGGAAGAAAGUAUUAGAGAGCGAGGUUGAGAUCGAGAGAGUUAUCGUGCAGGUGAUGUUGGUCGUUCUUACGUUUUUUGAGAGUGAGACGAGGCGAAGGAGAUGCAGUCGACGGAGUUGUGAAACGCAGAGGUUGUCCUCUGAAUUCAACCUCGUUUGUGAAAUCUUCCCACUCGAAUGAUGGCACCCAACCGCUCUGUUCUUCUGUCGGCACUUUCCUCUUCUUCUCACUCUUUUCUAAUUCCUCCAACUCUUUUCGUCUCCGAUCACGCGCGUCCCGGAACCUCCGCAGAAGCGCGUAAAACUCCUCCAUCUUCAUCAUCUCUUCUUUUUCUUCGUCUUUUUCCUUUCUCUUUUUGUCUUCCAUGAAUCUGCGUAAUAUGUUAUUAACAGGAAAACCAGAGUUAACUAACAGAAAGAAAGAACACAAGAAGAAUGAAGAAGAGAAUGAAAACAAUGUCUGCGUCCUGGUAGAGAGAGAGAUAGAUGUUGGCAACUACCAAAUUGGAAACUCUGUUAAUUUUCCUUUUAUAUCCAUACUGGACCGAUGUGGAUUAUGUCGGGUUCUUAAUUUCGAGGGACCAUAAGACACCCACAAAAUAAAAUACAUAUACUACACAAUUUAAAAUAUUAGUAUUUUAAAUAGAUUUAUUUUUAAUAUAUUAUUAUAUUAUCAAAAUAGUUGUCAAGCAACGAAGUGAUAUAUCUUCUCAUUUCAUUUAAAUUUUUAGUAAAUAUUUAUGUCAUGUUUAAUUCAAUUUCCAAAAAAUCGAUUC
Molecule: long non-coding RNA, 1534 nt
Filed under: Vigna radiata
Lineage: Eukaryota; Viridiplantae; Streptophyta; Magnoliopsida; Fabales; Fabaceae
Description: long non-coding RNA (VRAD_LNC002451)
Source: RNAcentral